Molecule: ribosomal RNA, 1788 nt
Filed under: wastewater metagenome
Description: bacterial LSU rRNA
Rfam family: Bacterial large subunit ribosomal RNA
Source: RNAcentral
GAUGUUGGCUUAGAAGCAGCCAUCAUUUAAAGAAAGCGUAAUAGCUCACUGGUCAAGUUGUUUCGCGCCGAAAAUUUAUCGGGGCUAAGCUUAUUACCGAAGAUGCGGGUUGUCCAUGUAAAUGGACAGCGGUAGAGGAGCGUUCCAAUUCCGUUGAAGUCGCAACGUGAGUUGCGGUGGAGGAUUUGGAAGUGAAAAUGUUGGCAUAAGUAGCAAAAAGGCAAGUGAAAACCUUGCCCACCGAAAAUCUAAGGGUUCCUGGGCAACGAAACUCGACCCAGGGUUAGUCGAUCCUAAGGUGAGGCCAUUGUAGUGGUGGCGUAGCCGAUGGAAGAGCUGGUUAAUAUUCCAGCACUACUAUAAUUUUCCGAUGGGGGGACGCGUUGACAAAGUUUAAGCGUACUAUGGUUUGUGCGUUGUUGGCUUGGCCGUGCCGCCUAGGCAAAUCCGGGUGGCGUUAGCGGCUGAGUUGACUGCCGGCAAAGCUUUCGGGCGGCGCCAAUUUAAGCGGAGUCAGCGCCAAGAAAAUCCUCUAGGGCUAAGAUUAUAGUAAUCGUACUGCAAACCGACACAGGUAGAUGAGGCGAGGAGCCUAAGGUGUACGAGAGAACCUUCGUUAAGGAACUCGGCAAAUCAGCGGUCGUAAGUUCGCAAUAAGACCUCCCUGCGCAAGCAGGGCGCAGCUAAAGACAGCCAAGUGACUGUUUACCAAAAACACAGCUCUCUGCUAAAUCGUAAGAUGAUGUAUAGAGGGUGAUGCCUGGCCAGUGUCCGAACGUUAAGGGGAGAGGUUAGCCGUAAGGCAAAGCCUUGAACUGAAGCGCGGAUGAACGCCGGCCGUAACUAUAACGGUCCUAAGGUAGCGAAAUUCCUUGUCGGGUAAAUUCCGACCUGCACGAAUGGCAUAACAACUUGGUUACUGUCUCGACGAAGGACUCGGCGAAAUUGCAAGACGAGUAAAGAUGCUCGUUAAUCAUAGUUGGACGAGAAGACCCCAUGAAGCUUUACUAUAACUUGAUAUUGGUUUAGGGCUAUACAUGUUCAGGAUAGGUGGGAGCCUUCGGGCGCCGGUGAGAUACCACCCUUGUAUAGUUUUAAACCUAACCUUAGACCAUGAAUCUGGCCAAGGGACAGUGUCUGGUGGGUAGUUUGUCUGGGGCGGAUGCCUCCCAAAAGGUAACGGAGGCGUUUACCAAGGUUGGCUAUCCCGGGAUGGAAAUCCGGGAGAUAGUGUAAAGGCACAAGCCAGCUUUACUGCGAGACCUGCAAGUCAAGCAGUCGCGAAAGCGGAACUUAGUGAUCCGACCAUUCAAUAUAGGAUGGUGGAAGCUCAACGGAUAAAAGCUACUCUGGGGAUAACAGGCUAGUCACGCCCAAGCGUCCACAGCGACGGCGUGGUUCGGCACCUCGAUGUCGGCUCGUCGCAUCCUGGGGGUGGAGAAGCUCCCAAGGGUUGGGCUGUUCGCCCAUUAAAGCGGCACGCGAGCUGGGUUCAGACCGUCGUAAGACAGGUCGGUCUCCUAUCCACUAUGAUCGCGGAAACUUGAGAAGGCGCUUCCCUAGUACGAGAGGACCGGGAAGCACGAAGCUCUGGUGUACCAGCUGUCCUACCAAGGGCAUCGCUGGGUAGCUAUCUUCGGUUAGGAUAAGCGCUGAAAGCAUAUAAGUGCGAAGCCGUCUUCAAGAUUAGGUUUCAUAGACUCCCGGGAGACUACCGGGUUGAUAGGUUCUAGGUGUAAGCGCAGUAAUGCGUUGAGCCGAGGAAUACUAAUAAGUCAUUUGAUUUUC